Molecule: ribosomal RNA, 301 nt
Filed under: uncultured bacterium
Lineage: Bacteria
Description: partial 16S ribosomal RNA
Rfam family: Bacterial small subunit ribosomal RNA
Source: RNAcentral
CAGCAGCCGCGGUAACACGGAGGGUGCAAGCGUUAAUCGGAAUUACUGGGCGUAAAGCGCACGCAGGCGGUCUGACAAGUCAGAUGUGAAAUCCCCGGGCUUAACCUGGGAACUGCAUUUGAAACUGUCAGGCUGGAGUCUUGUAGAGGGGGGUAGAAUUCCAGGUGUAGCGGUGAAAUGCGUAGAGAUCUGGAGGAAUACCGGUGGCGAAGGCGGCCCCCUGGACAAAGACUGACGCUCAGGUGCGAAAGCGUGGGGAGCAAACAGGAUUAGAUACCCGUGUAGUCCCUGUCUCUUAUAC